Long non-coding RNA from Asterias rubens (European starfish), 1926 nucleotides. RefSeq lists it as uncharacterized. NCBI's taxonomy places the organism in Eukaryota, Metazoa, Echinodermata, Asteroidea, Forcipulatida, Asteriidae. The transcript is spliced from 7 exons. The record is from RefSeq and is a predicted model, not a curated record.
AACUGGUAGAAGAAGAACGGCCAAAUGGCUCUGAAAAAAAUGCCUGAAAAUCACUUAAAUUGGACCCAAUUUGUUGCGACAAGUACACAUUUCAAAAGGCUGCUACCCAGACUGGUUUAUUGACGAAGAUGACAAUGUCUACUCAAAUCAGCUCCUUGAAGCAAGGCUAGUGGAAAUGUGGAGGUUGAAGUGAACUUAAAGUCCCAAGGUACGAGCAUCGAGUCUGAGCCAAAGACCAUAGUGACCCAAGUCCGACAUCAUGAGUUAUACUUGAGGAGUUGUCGUACAACACUGCUUUGCAUGGAGGACUAACAAUUUGAAGAGUCGCCCUGGGACGAACUCAGCAGACGGCAUCUACCACAGCCAACAGAGAAAUCCACUGCGCAUCCUACUUCUGAACUCGGUGUCAGCAGAGCAAGCCUUCACUGUGGUGACCUCAGGACUGACACGCACUCAUCACUGGUGCCAGGAAGCUUGAAUUAAUGGGCAUGAUACUCUGUGAUGGAUUGGUGAGGGUCAGCAUGCCAGUUUCAUCACCAUCCCCCAUUGGUCGAGAAGUAAAUGCCGGGAUGUUGUUGUAACAAGUCGCCGCACAUUGUGGAUUCUCAGUAUUUAAUUCUGUUUUGUGUUAAAACGUCUAGCAGUCAACAAGUAUAUGUUUGAGAUCAACCUAAUGACGUAGUUCCACUUUCCCAGUAAAAGAGCCAGAGGUGAAGCUAGUGGUUCCCUGGAAUCAAGUGCAGAUGGAAUCACCACUACUGACACCUUAAAGGCUACAGGAACAAGAGAGCAACCCGUAUGAAUACAUCGUUUUCAUCAAGACAUCUUAGCUGUUCAUCAAGCAAUCAUGACUGAACAACCAAGCAGUUUGUUGCCUUCAAAAAGACGGAGAUAAAGGGAAUAGUUUCCUGAAAAGAUUUUCAGAAUGGAAUCACCACUACUGAUGUCAUCAAAGAUACUGGAUAUAGAGCGACGCAUAUUAAAACAUCGCUAUCGUCAAGACAUCUUUUAUAGCUGGAAGCAAUUAUGGAUGUAACAAUCAGUUUGUUGUCUUCAACAGUAAGGUAUUAUAAAUGUGUUUUUAUUAACUGAAUAAGUUGCAACGUAUUCAGAACACUGCUGCCUGCUUUUGGUACAGUCUCCAAGAUAUAAGCACAUCAUCCCUAUUCUUCGCUGUCUCUGCCCACUAGCUGCCAAUCACAGACAUUUGUGCUCAAGCCAUGGUUGCUCACUUACAAGUCUCAACAUGAUCUCGCUCCUGCAUGUAUCUACAAACUUAAAAACUCAUAUAAACCCCCUCGUCUUCGCUCAUCAUCACAGUGUCUACUGCAAGCUCCCCACAGAGCCUCUGAACUUAUAACCUUGUCUACACAUCCUUGUUGUCUUCGCUCAUCGUCACAGUGUCUACUGCAAGCUCCCCACAGAGUCUCUACUUCGCAUUAUGGGGGUUGAUGCUGCUCCCAUCUCAAGGAACAGUCUUCCUCUUAUUGUUCGCCCAGCUACUUCGGUCACUUCCUUCAAGAGUCGUCUGAAAACUCAUCUGUAUUCGUUUAAUGAUGCACUUUUUGUGCUUUUAAUUCUCGUUUUUUGCUGAUCAAUUCUGUGUUGUUUUUAUAGCCAGAUGCUGAGGAUCUUGGCUAAGGGUGUAAGUGCUGGUAACCUCUCCCCUUUUUAAAUAUGUUUUUGAGUUAAUGUUGCACUUCUUGUGCUUUUAAUUAUUGUUUUAGCGGAUCAUUUCUGUGUUGUUGUUUAUAUAGCCAGAUGCUGAGGAUCUUGGCUAAGGGUGUAAGUGCUGGUAACCUCUCCCCUUUUAAAUAUGUUUUCUUUUAAUGGUAUGCUUACUUUUGUGUAGAGGUGUGAAGGCACUGGACACUAUUGGUAAUUACUCAAAAUACUUUUUAGCAUAACAAUUUACUUUUUAACUUG